This 492-nucleotide ribosomal RNA is filed under the name uncultured bacterium. RNAcentral's name for it is "partial 16S ribosomal RNA". It matches the Rfam family "Bacterial small subunit ribosomal RNA", at positions 29 to 507 of the family's 1533-position model. The record is from RNAcentral.
AGUGAACGCUGGCGGUAGGCCUAACACAUGCAAGUCGAACGGCAGCACAGUAAGAGCUUGCUCUUACGGGUGGCGAGUGGCGGACGGGUGAGGAAUACAUCGGAAUCUACUUUUUCGUGGGGGAUAACGUAGGGAAACUUACGCUAAUACCGCAUACGACCUACGGGUGAAAGCAGGGGAUCUUCGGACCUUGCGCGAUUGAAUGAGCCGAUGUCGGAUUAGCUAGUUGGCGGGGUAAAGGCCCACCAAGGCGACGGUCCGUAGCUGGUCUGAGAGGAUGAUCAGCCACACUGGAACUGAGACACGGUCCAGACUCCUACGGGAGGCAGCAGUGGGGAAUAUUGGACAAUGGGCGCAAGCCUGAUCCAGCCAUGCCGCGUGGGUGAAGAAGGCCUUCGGGUUGUAAAGCCCUUUUGUUGGGAAAGAAAAGCAGCAGGUUAAUACCCCGCUGUUCUGACGGUACCCAAAGAAUAAGCACCGGCUAACUUCGUG